GCUCAGUUGUGGAUCUUUUACAUGAAGUAGUAACUGAGGCUGAAUCAUUAACACCCACUCUCUUAUCUGCACAAAGUAAGAGAGCAAAAGGAGCUUUCAUUUCUCAAGUUCCCUGGUAGGGAAGAAAUUAGUAGGAAAGCCCUUGGAGCAACCUCACACUUGUUUCCCAGAGCUGGAACUGUGCAGAGCAGACAAGGAACAUCAUCUUACCUGAACUCUUUUAUGGUGCUCCUGAGCAUCUCAGGAGAGGAAAGGAGCCAGCAGGCACCUAGGAAAGAGUGUAAGAACAGGGCAAGUACAGGGACAGUUCCUUGGAUUACAUUCCCAAACACCAAGAAUUUGCAGCCCGGUACAUGACUGAGCCAGAGGUAAAGAACAACAUGCAACAGACUGCUCAGCCCUUCUUUGUACCACCUGCACAAACUGGUCCUCAGACUAAACACACAGAAGAGUAAAUUCUCCACUGUUCCAAAAGACACUCCUACCCUCCCAAGUUUAGCUAACUUUGUUGCCAUAACCUGUCUAACAUAACUAUAUUCUGGCUGAAAGGGCACAGCAGAUAAUGAUAAAGUUUAAGGGCAAUGACUUGUAAAAGUUGCAGGCUUCACUUGAGAUACUGGAAAUACUUGUAGCAAUUUACACUGUGUACUUCAGAUCAACAUAAAUUCAAUAAACCAGAAAAGUAUCACUGGAAAGUUCAGUAACAGCCAAAAAGGGCCACAUGUUUCCAACACUAGGAACAGACACCCUCAUUCAGAAACAAAGGUUACAAGUGGAAAACUGCUGCUCCCUUUGCCCUUCUACCUCCAGUUUCUUCACACAAUCCCAACACAUUUCUGCAGGAAGCUGGGACAGUUUUACACAGUCUCUGUCAUGGAAAACAGUCCACAAAGUGACAGCUAAAUAUGUACCCUGCUUAUGUUCCCUCUUCUUUUGGGCAGCAGCCCACCCCUAAAUUUGAUUCACAUGAACUGUACCCUCAGGUGUGAUGACAAAGCAACUCAGAGGAUCCCUCACAGAUUUCAAUCUGAAUUAUCUGAGCUACUUCAGGCAGCGCAGAUCACACACAGCCUUUCCUAACCCAGCUCAUUUGAACUGAAAUGGAUUAAACAGUACCUGAAUGGGAAGACACACCAACAGAUGCAGGGGAAUAGGAAACUCUGACAGCCAGAAGCUGUAAUGUCUUCUGCUGCUGUAACCAAGAGCUGAAGCUGUCCCCAGCCCAAGCUUUCUGGUACUUUUCCCAAAGCAUAUGUGCAUGCCAUUGGAGGAUGGGGUGGGAAACACUCCCAGAGGAGCUGGUAGGGAAAGGAGAUAGCAUUUACUGGCAUAUCCAUCUCUCUACAGCCUUGGAAAAAGUGUCUAUUUAAACUUAUAUUUGAAAAUUCAAAUAACAGUGAUAAACUACUGAAGAUCAUCAGCUUCAUGCCCUGUCAUACAGUGUCAAACAUGCUAUAUAUGCUACUUCAUCUCUAUACAGCCAAAUCAGAUUUCUGGGAAGAAAAAAAAUAAAAGGAACGAUGAGCAAAAGGUUCCUUGUCACGGUAUUACAAUUUAU
Pseudopipra pipra is the source of this 1558-nucleotide long non-coding RNA. RefSeq lists it as uncharacterized. The transcript is spliced from 3 exons. NCBI's taxonomy places the organism in Eukaryota, Metazoa, Chordata, Aves, Passeriformes, Pipridae. The record is from RefSeq and is a predicted model, not a curated record.